UACAGGGAAAAAAAUUUUUAAUGAUGUAAGUGCAGUAAUAAUUGCAUAAUUAUUAUUUUGUAGUAGAAAGCCCAUGAUAAGGAUGCCCGCCAUGACACCGUUGAAUUAACUGAAAAAUUAUUUAUUAUAAUAUGACUAUUACUGCACUUACACAGUCAAACUUUAUCUAUUCUCAUUUAUAAAAUUGUUCUCAACACUUAUAAAUAUUUUUCACAUGAAAAAAACAAACAAAAAAUAUUUAAUUUGAUGAUAAAAAUUUGAGACGAUUUAAGGUUAGGGAAGUCUACCCUUAAAAUUUAAAUAUUCGCGCGCCUUAUAAUUAAAAAAUAAUUGUCGAUAAUCGAUAUCGAUUAUAAAUGUACAUAUAUCGACACCACCCUUAUCAUCAACUUCAUUCUGUUUGGAUGUCAGCAUCAUGGCUUGUAAAAAUGAUAUUGGAUGGAAUAGAUUUUUUUCUAUCAUUUUCAAAAGUGAGAAUGAAAUUUCUAUAAUGAUUUUGCAGUGCCUUGUAAUCAUUGGCAAGCGAUAUAAAAAAAAGAAAAAAAGUAUCGAGGUUAGAAAAAAUGUUAAAAAAAAUUUCACACCCUUGUGGAAGCAUGGAUUGAAAAAGAAAAAUUGUGUCGAGUAUCGCAGUACACAUUCUCAUGUCUUGAUUGACGUUUGAAUCGUUUUCAUGUGCAUACAUAAACGUUUCGUUUCGACUUUAUUGGAAAGUGGUCGGCAAAAAAAAUCAUCUCCUGUGGAUUUUUUCUUUCUCUACUGCUUUUCCUAUUGCUUCAACGUCUUCUUUUCGAUUUUUAAAUAGAAUCCAAUCAGAAUCACUUUCAUAUACAAACGAUUUAAGGAUAAAGAAGCCCCAUGGACUAAGGAACUCAACAAUUGUGAGGAUCGAUAAGAGAGGUUAUUUGAAUAUCUAAAAAAAAAAGGUUACAAAAAAUGAUUUUUUCAACUUGUAGGUCAGCUUUAGGGUUACUUUUUUCCUGGUAUUCUCCUCCUUCUUUCGUGAUAGGUCUCGGGUCUUUGUCUUGCUGGGGUUGGGGAAAAGAUACUUUCGUUAGAAGGAAGGGUUUCAACCCUUUCAGUGAAUACGAGACAUGCGCACAGUGUUAAUUACUUGGCAAAAUGGCGGACUCUUUUGAAGAUAAUGGCGAAAUUUGCAAGUUUUUGGAAAUUGUGGGAACAUUUGAAUAAUCAUAUCUCUGGCAAUACAUCUGUGUUCCACAACGCUACCAAACUUCAGACUGAUCAAAAUCAUUGCAAUGAUUCAUCAACGUUCUUUGGAGAUCAUGCUGCUGUUGGAGGAUUCAUCAUGUCUUACAAUAUUAAUAUUCAUGAUUCUUAUUUAAAUUAUCAACAAAAAUGAUCUUACCCUAGAGUUGUCAUCAUCAUGUGGAAUUGUUUUUUAUUUUUCAACAAAUGGAUCCAGAAAAAUGAUGGAGAGUAGCUUUCAACAACCUCUACUUCAAUUAAAUUAAUUCCAAUUUUACCAUUAUUAUUCAUCUUUAAAUCAGUAACUAAGAUUUCUCCAACUGACUCAUAAUCAGUGGUUGUUGUGGUAACAACAUCAUCCAAACAUAAUUGUUUCUGAGAGCCAACAGGAACACUUGGUGGAAAUUCAAUAUCAUCUUCUGCUUUAGCAUAAAUCAAUCCAUUUUUUAUUGUAAUCAUCUUACGAAGAGUCUUUAAAUGAUAAUUAAGACUUUUAUUUGAUUCAUUAAGACAACAAUUAAGUCUCAAUUCUAUUCAUCAUCUUUAAAAUCAUCAGCCUUGGAUGUAUUUAUUAUUUUUAGUUUAUUUAUUUAUUUAAAAGAAUUACAGAGGUUCAACAACAUGAGCAAAACCUAGAUCCAUAGAUAAAAAAAUUUUUAAAGAAGCGAGAAAAAUGAAUAAUACAUCAUGAAUUAGUUAGCAGUUCUCCAGAUGCAUAUCCACUAUCUCAAGUCAGCCUAAAAAAAAAUCUACCCCUAAUGAUUUUUUUUUUACCAUCAACCCUUUCUAAUUCUCUUGCUAGUGUCUCUCGUGCGCAUCUCAUGAAUAAUUUCUCGUAGUCCUAGGGUUGAUCGUGAAAGCUUGUAGCUUAUAUAUAUGCUCUCAGGGAAGGAAAAAAAAGAUGGGAAAAAAGAGAGGCGGGGGUGCAAAGGAGGGUGGAAAGGAUGAAACCGGACUGUGGCGUUUAGAAUCCCUGUAGAUAAAAAAGAAGUCCGUGGCCACCCUAAAAAAUAUAUAAGAGAGGGUUAGAGAAAAUCUACCCCACAGCUUCGAUUGCUCUGACUCACCCGCGAUCACUACCCCUAUUUUUUUUUCAACCCCUAAAAAGUUCGCGGAUCCGCGAAGGGUCGAAAUAAAAAAUCUUUGAUUCUUUAAAAUAUUCUUCGUCUUUAAU
This 2383-nucleotide long non-coding RNA is filed under the name Chelonus insularis. RNAcentral's name for it is "uncharacterized LOC118063653". Lineage: Eukaryota; Metazoa; Arthropoda; Insecta; Hymenoptera; Braconidae. The record is from RNAcentral.